CAGUUAAGAAUCAAGGGUUCUCCAAAUCCAAACAACAUGGACAGCAAGCCGGACGGUAAGCUAAUUAACCUCCACUUAUCAUAACAGUAUAUUGCGUGCAUGUAGAGUAGCUCUAUAUACAUCUUUUGACACGCCAUAUAUAUGCAGUGCCUCCACUGAAAACUAAUUCAGAUGACCGUCCAACGUAUGUUGCACCACCAGAUGUCUCAGCAUCGCCUUCUGACGAUGUGAUGCAUACUGAUGUGCCGACCGAAAAGUUCUGACGCCGGGAAGAAAGUUGUGACACCACAUAACGCACCUGCACAGCCGGCAGAGGAAUCUUCUACUGGUGCAGCAGCUAAAGCUACAAGUCAUUCCACACUGCCGCUGAAGGUAUCAAGCAGCACAAAACAAAACAACCCAACCUAGACAAGGUUCCAAAUUAUUCUCAGCGGUGAAUUCAGGAUUCACAUAUAUAUUUUAAUCCUCUCGUGUGGAUGGAUGAAGAAGAAGAACAAGGUGAUACGUAUACUGAAUACUCUAAUAGUGUGUAAGAAGUUAAGAGGUGGAACAGAAAUAUGUAUCAAUCUAUUGCAUGUUUAUAGUUUGUACUUCCUUUGGUGGAUUUGUUCACUGCCUUAAGUUGGUAUGUUGGUAUUGUAUUGAAUUCACAUGUACUAAUAAAUUUGGAUUGUACUGAGUU
Long non-coding RNA from Triticum aestivum (bread wheat), 682 nucleotides. RefSeq lists it as uncharacterized. The record is from RefSeq and is a predicted model, not a curated record. Lineage: Eukaryota; Viridiplantae; Streptophyta; Magnoliopsida; Poales; Poaceae. The transcript is spliced from 5 exons.